Molecule: small nuclear RNA, 214 nt
Filed under: Helianthus annuus (common sunflower)
Lineage: Eukaryota; Viridiplantae; Streptophyta; Magnoliopsida; Asterales; Asteraceae
Description: sRNA HanXRQr2_Chr05g0198401
Rfam family: U1 spliceosomal RNA
About the family: U1 is a small nuclear RNA (snRNA) component of the spliceosome (involved in pre-mRNA splicing).
Source: Rfam by way of RNAcentral
UCACUUGCCUGGUCGGGGUCAAUGAUGAUCAUAAAGGUUCAUGGUGUAGAUUGGUGACCUUCAUUGCACUUUGGAGGGGUGCCUGUUGAAGGUUGGCUCAAGUGGUCGAGUCUACAUUAUAAUUUUUGGAGGGGUGCCUGUUGAAGGUUGGCUCAAGUGGUCGAGUCUACAUCAUAAUUUGUGGCAGUGGAGGCUUGCGUUCGCGCAGCCUUUG